UCAAAAGCUUUCCGGAAAGAGAAGAUUGCUAUGGUGAUCAUUGUUGUGGUUUGCCGGGAACCGUCAGAUAACAGCAUUCCACACCAUCAUUGCACCUGGCCAUGGGUUCUUUUUGCCUCAGGUUUUUGAACAUUCAGACAGAGCUUAGCCGUGCCUCCCCUACUUCCUGAUGGACCCUUUCAUUAUUUCCUUCCAUUACAAAACCUUGGGAAUUUCUGUUUUGCCAGAGUAUGUCCUGGUUCUACAUAGAAUUCUCCUACCUCUGAUGCUUUUAAAAUGUGCUUGUGGAUCUGCACAGAUAGGUGACUAACACAUGGUAUAUUACUCCCGAAAAUUUAACUUCAAGUAAUGCACAACUACACUGGGAAACAGAAAGUAGUCAGAUGCUGGCAUCUAUAUAGGGACUCACCAUAAAAGUGACAGCCACAACGUGGACGCAUUUUUGGCAACUCAGAUACCCCAAGCAGCAUCCUCCACGAGUGACAUGAUUCUCCAAAAUGGCGAACAACUUCUGCAAAGUUCCAAACAAAACUAAAGAUUCUGAGGGGUAUCCAAUAUCCUUUACUAAAAUCCUCUCCUGCUGAUGCCUAGCAGAGCUGGGGUUAUCACUUACAACUAAGAACUCCGACUGAUAUGGUUCUGAGGUCCAAUCUAACUGGAAAGUAAAGAAAGAGUUCAUCAUAUAACUGCUGUUGAGAAACAAAGACUGUGCCCUUGGACUGCAUUGUUGGAAAUCUGAGCAUGGUAGCACAGACAUAUCUGUGGCAUAAGAGUUGAGCCAUUCUCCCCAUGCACCCUCCUACACUGACCAUCCUAAAUGCACUUGAAGAACAAUAGACAUAUUAUCACUUACAAUUUCUACAGAGAAGAAAUUUGAGAGUCAGAGACAAAGUGAACUGCCCAGAAAGACAAAAUUCACUGCCACAGAGGUAGAGGUGGACUGGCAUUCAGCAUUCUUGUGUCUUGAACUCUCCUUCCCUCUACAGUAAUGUUCUCAACCAUCCGGACUCCUGGUGUUCUCAAGCCACCCAUUUCUCUUACUUUGGCAAAACUUCCUCAUUAUUAUGAAACGUGAAAGAUAAAAAUGAGAAAAAUCACAUGAAAUCUGCUCUCGGCUUAACAAAUAACAAGGCCCAUUCUAACCUGUGUGCUUCUGGCAUCAGUCACACAAACGGAAACUGAUCUGACUGUAAGAAGGGGCCAAGGAUGAAGGAGCGAAAAGAGCGCCUUUUCUCAACACUGGUUUGAAAGUAAAAGUUGAAAGGGGAAAGACGCCUGACUCAGCGCUCCGGCAACCCCCUGCCGGGCUGUGCUGCUGACCGCGCCCCUCGCCCAGCAGGACUGCGGCUGCGGCUGCCCCGGGAGCGACCCGGCUCCGCAGCCCAGCUACGGGGUCAGCGCGAGAGCAGCACGCCGAGAGCCGGCGGGCUGCCUCCGGCCCCUCCCCGGCAGAGGCCCCAGGAGCGCCUCCGCCUCGCGCGCAUGCCCAGCCGG
RNAcentral lists this long non-coding RNA (1494 nucleotides) under Equus caballus (horse). RNAcentral describes it as "lncRNA (ENSECAG00000045975.1)". Lineage: Eukaryota; Metazoa; Chordata; Mammalia; Perissodactyla; Equidae. The record is from RNAcentral.